Molecule: ribosomal RNA, 637 nt
Filed under: Acarospora fuscata
Lineage: Eukaryota; Fungi; Ascomycota; Lecanoromycetes; Acarosporales; Acarosporaceae
Description: SSU rRNA
Rfam family: Bacterial small subunit ribosomal RNA
Source: RNAcentral
UUGUAUUAUUAGUUAAUGCAAGAUCGACUACGUCGACUAAAGUUCUAGGUAGAAUAAUGAUGAUGACAAUUUUUUACCUAUAUGUCUUGACCAAGUCUCGUGCCAGCAGUCGCGGUAAUACGUGGAAGACUAGUGUUAUUCAUCUUUAUUAGGUUUAAAGGGUACCUAGACGGUAUUUCUAGCCCAAAAUAGGGUACGGAUUUACUAGAGUUUUAUGUGAGGAGGGGAGUACUCGUAGAGUAGAGAUGAAAUUUUGUUAUACUAUGAGGUAACUGGUGGCGGCGAAAGCAACCUUCUAUGUAUAAACUGACGUUGAGGGACGAAGGCUUGGGUAGCAAAUAGGAUUAGAUACCCUAGUAGUCCAAGCAGACAAUUCUGAAUGCCAUAGAUUAGAUUAUUUUUGGUCUAUAAAUGAAAGUGUAAGCAUUCCACCUUAGGAGUAAUGUGGCAACACAGGAACUGAAAUCAUUAGACCGUUUCUGAAACCAGUAGUGAAGUAUGUUAUUUAAAUUGAUGGUCCACAAAAAACCUUACCACAACUUGAAUAUUUUCAAUUAAUACAAGCGUUGCACGGCUGUCUUCAGUUAAUGUCGUGAGAUUUUGGUUAACUCCAUUAAUUAACGUAAACCCUUACUUU